AACUGAUGAGAGGAGCCCAGUACUUGGCUUUUUAGGGUUUCACCUAAUAGUCGUCACACCUCUUUCUCUCUCAUCAGUCCCUCUCUCCCUCCUCUCAUCUCCUCCUCACCAUUCACCGGCCUCUUUCUCUCAUUUCAAACUCAGGUGGUCAGGCCCUCUCUCCUCUCCUCCAUCAAUCUUCCCCUUAACAACAAGUGAAGACCUUUGGAAUAUCUCCCUGGUUUUUUCCUCUUCUUGAAUUGAUUUCUGGGCAUCUAAUUGUUUAAAUUCUUGAAUUUGUUCUUGUGAAUUCUAAUUUGCUUUAUUUUUUUCAACAUGCAAUUUGUAUUUGAUUCAAUUUUGGCAUUUAUAUGGUUCAAUUAUCCUUUGUAUGUCUAAACGAAUAAUAAAUCUAAAAAAAAUAUGUUCUUCAAUUGAAACGGGUAAUACAUGCAAUCAGUAAUGAAUUUAGUUCAUCUUUGUCGAUUAAUACCUGAUUGCCGAGUUUUUUUGUAAUUUUUUAUGUUUAUAGAGAGAAUUAAGAAACCCGAUAUGACAUGUUGAUUAAUUCUAGGGUUCUUCGAGUUCUUUACCAAAUAGGGUUCCAGGGUUUUGUUAAGCGUAUGACUUGCAUUUUUCAAUCCUUGCACUAAUCUAAAUCACUAGUUUCUGAUUUUUUUUUAAAAAAAAAAAGAACUUUAGAGGCUGCCUUCGAUUUGGAUUUGGGUAUGUGUCACAUUUGUACUACUAUUUUCAUCUCUAGUUAUUGAUGAAUAAAAGGCUUAUUUUAUGUGAAUUAUGUCUAUUCCUUUUAGCAGUUAAUGAUCGAUUGUCAAUUUAAUCACUGGUAGAUCAAUUUUCUGUAGUUGAUGGAAGCUCAUGAAAUGUUACUAUAUAUGUUAGUCCCUGAAACAGAUGAUAGCAGAUAAUAUGUUAAGCUAUUGCAAUGUCAGUCUUUCAAACACUUUGAAUAUAUUAUUAGAUUAUUGUUCUAUCAUGUCUAAUAUUGGUAUAGAUAAUAUGUUAAGUUAAUCCUGUUCAUUGGAUGAGCUGCACAAGUUUGAUAUGGUGAAAAUUAGUUGCGCGUGUUGGUACAUACAUACAAUGUGAAACUUAGUUGCUCGUGUUGGAAGAUACAUUGUGAGAAUUAGUUAGUUGCUCGUGUUGGUACAUACUGCUGCUUGAAAAUUAGUUAGUUGCUUGUGUUGGUACAUACAUUGUGAAAAUUAGUUGCUUGUGUUGGUACAUAAUGCUGCCUGAAAAUUAGUUAGUUGCUAGUGUGGUUGAAACAAGCAUUGUAAAAAAUAAGCUGUUUGUGUUAGUGCUUAUGUUGUGAAAAUUUGUUGAUUGUGUUGAUACAAACAUUUGUUAUUGUUGUUAUCCUGUUGUAAACCUUAUCAGAAAUGAUAAUGUGAAUCUGCAAAUAAGACUUAGCUACUUGUCUUGCUUGAAUAACAAGUUAGUUUAUCUGAAUAUUACUAUUAUGAGCUGCAAUAAAUAUGAGUUGUUUUCUUGGUUUGAUUAAUGUCAUGUGGUUACUGGAGAUAUGAUCACAAAAUGGUUCAACUAGAACUUGCUAAUUAGCUUUUACAGCAAAAUAAGAGAAUAAUAUGAGUUGGAUUUGUUUUAGCAAAUUUCUUGUUUUAAUGUUAUCUUGAAGCAGUUAUAUUACUUAGAUAUCAAAUGUCAAACCUGCAUAGUUUUGCAAUUAAUGUAAUUACAUCAAUUGUUGGCUGCAUGAAGUGUAGCAGAUUGUAGGUUGAGCUACAUGAUCAGUACUCAUCAGGAAUGAAACCAAGUUUAUCAGUAAUAGGUCAUUUACUGCAUUAAGUUGAGCUAUGUGAGUAGAUUGUUAGAAUCCUAGUUCUAAAUUCUAAGUGUGGUAUCAGUUUAUAAAGUGUGCUUGUUAGGAUUCCAUUUGACAUUUUUAGAAUGAAUGAAUGGUUUAUUGUGUCUAAUUCUUGUAAAAUCAUAGAAGUUGUUUCCAAUUUAUUUUCUCUCUUUUGUGUGGUUAGUUAAUUAGUUAUAUUGAGCUUAUUUUAUUUGCAUGUCCACAUCAAUCUUUCAGCACGCAGAUACCUCUCAAUGUAGACUGAUCUUGUCCAUGAACCACCAUCUCUAUAUAUAAGAGGCAACUAUGACACUUAGUCACGUUGUUUUGCUAUAUUUUAUACAUAAAGUGUUGACAAGUAAUCACAUAUGGCACACUUAGUUAUUUUGUUUUGCUUUAUUUUUUAUUUUUUUUUCUCUCUUUUGUGUGGUUAGUGUUGACAAGUAACCCCUUAGCCUUCCUCCCGACCCUCUAACCAGGAAUCUUUCCUACAGUAUGCUCAUCUGUGAAACUUGUAUUGUGAUGCGUGGUGGUGUCAAUUCCAUUCAACACAAGCAUUGAGCUUGUGAUGCAGGGCACUAGUAUUCUAGGGGCAGAGAGCCACCCACUUCACCUUUAUGGGUUUAACUUCUUUGUUGUUGGACAAGGAUUCAGAAACUUCGAUUCUAAAAAAGACCCUGCUAAGUACAACCUUGUAAAUCCUGUUGAGAGGAACAUAGUUGGUGUGCCUGCAGAAGGGUGGGUUGCCAUUUGAUUUCUUGCAGACGAUCCAGGUGCAAUAAGCGUGAAAUCCAUAAUCUUGCAAGAUUCAUCUCUAUUAUGAAAUUUCAUCCAUUGUCUUGGCGAACUGCUCAUCCUUAUGUGCUAGCAGACCGUUUUGAAGAUGUCACUCCACCAGAGAGAGUGCAGCUAGACAAGAAAUGUGACAGGAAUGUCACAGUUUAUGGUUAUUUGUGGGCUAGACGGUCUUUUACUGAUAGGUCAUGAAAAUUGCGGACAGCGGAGCUGAUAUUGUUCGAUUAACAAUGCACAAAUGGCAAUUAAUAUGGAGGGGGAUAUUAUCAAGCACAACACCAUUCCGGAUUGCGCCGAGAAUGCCUUCGAAAUUGAUAUGGAACUCAAGUAGAGCAUGCUUUUAUUUUAUAUUUUGUAAUUGUUGGGGUUACCUUGUUGGAAUAGUUUCUAUAACUCCCCUGAACUUGUUGAUUUGAUUAAUUUUUUUUUUUGAAUAAUGUUGAUUUGAUUAAUUAAGUAA
Molecule: long non-coding RNA, 3065 nt
Organism: Chenopodium quinoa (quinoa)
Lineage: Eukaryota; Viridiplantae; Streptophyta; Magnoliopsida; Caryophyllales; Amaranthaceae
Exons: 2
Source: RefSeq, a predicted model, not a curated record